CCUACGGGAGGCAGCAGUGGGGAAUAUUGGGCAAUGGGCGCAAGCCUGCUCCAGCCACGCCGCGUGAAUGAAGAAGGCUCUCGGGUUGUAAACUUCUUUCAUCAGGGAAGAAUCAAAUGACGGUACACGAUGACUCAGCCACGGCUACCUACGGGCCAGCAGCCGCAGUAAUAAGUAGGUGGCCAGCGUCAUCCGGUUUUACUGGGAGUAGAGGGCGUGUAGGCGGGACAGUUCGUCAGAUGUGAAGUCCAUGGGCAUAACCCGGGAACUGCAUUUGAACUUGUGUGGCUGGAGUGCUGGUUGGGCAGGAGGAAUGCCUAGUGUAGCGGUGAAAGGCGUAGAGAUGAGGAGGAACACCGGUGGCGAAGGCGGUUUACUGGACUGCAACUGACGUUGAGGCGCGAAAGCGUGGGGAGCAAACAGGAUUAGAUACCCGGGUAGUC
RNAcentral lists this ribosomal RNA (443 nucleotides) under uncultured bacterium. RNAcentral describes it as "partial 16S ribosomal RNA". It matches the Rfam family "Bacterial small subunit ribosomal RNA", at positions 338 to 795 of the family's 1533-position model. The record is from RNAcentral.